UACGGAGGGUGCAAGCGUUAAUCGGAAUUACUGGGCGUAAAGCGCACGCAGGCGGUCUGUCAAGUCGGAUGUGAAAUCCCCGGGCUUAACCUGGGAACUGCAUUCGAAACUGGCAGGCUAGAGUCUUGUAGAGGGGGGUAGAAUUCCAGGUGUAGCGGUGAAAUGCGUAGAGAUCUGGAGGAAUACCGGUGGCGAAGGCGGCCCCCUGGACAAAGACUGACGCUCAGGUGCGAAAGCGUGGGGAGCAAACAGG
Molecule: ribosomal RNA, 253 nt
Filed under: uncultured bacterium
Lineage: Bacteria
Description: partial 16S ribosomal RNA
Rfam family: Bacterial small subunit ribosomal RNA
Source: RNAcentral